This 496-nucleotide ribosomal RNA is filed under the name uncultured bacterium. Its description in RNAcentral is "partial 16S ribosomal RNA". It matches the Rfam family "Bacterial small subunit ribosomal RNA", at positions 29 to 507 of the family's 1533-position model. The record is from RNAcentral.
AUGAACGCUGGCGGCGUGCCUCAUACAUGCAGGUCGAGCGAACAGACGAGGAGCUUGCUCCUCUGACGUUAGCGGCGGACGGGUGAGUAACACGUGGAUAACCUACCUAUAAGACUGGGAUAACUUCGGGAAACCGGAGCUAAUACCGGAUAAUAUAUUGAACCGCAUGGUUCAAUAGUGAAAGACGGUUUUGCUGUCACUUAUAGAUGGAUCCGCGCCGCAUUAGCUAGUUGGUAAGGUAACGGCUUACCAAGGCAACGAUGCGUAGCCGACCUGAGAGGGUGAUCGGCCACACGGGAACUGAGACACGGUCCAGACUCCUACGGGAGGCAGCAGUAGGGAAUCUUCCGCAAUGGGCGAAAGCCUGACGGAGCAACGCCGCGUGAGUGAUGAAGGUCUUCGGAUCGUAAAACUCUGUUAUUAGGGAAGAACAAAUGUGUAAGUAACUAUGCACGUCUUGACGGUACCUAAUCAGAAAGCCACGGCUAACUACGUG